Molecule: ribosomal RNA, 253 nt
Filed under: uncultured bacterium
Lineage: Bacteria
Description: partial 16S ribosomal RNA
Rfam family: Bacterial small subunit ribosomal RNA
Source: RNAcentral
UACGAAGGGGGCUAGCGUUGCUCGGAAUCACUGGGCGUAAAGGGUGCGUAGGCGGGUCUUUAAGUCAGGGGUGAAAUCCUGGAGCUCAACUCCAGAACUGCCUUUGAUACUGAGGAUCUUGAGUUCGGGAGAGGUGAGUGGAACUGCGAGUGUAGAGGUGAAAUCGUAGAUAUUCGCAAGAACACCAGUGGCGAAGGCGGCUCACUGGCCCGAUACUGACGCUGAGGCACGAAAGCGUGGGGAGCAAACAGGG